Molecule: long non-coding RNA, 3052 nt
Organism: Fundulus heteroclitus (mummichog)
Lineage: Eukaryota; Metazoa; Chordata; Actinopteri; Cyprinodontiformes; Fundulidae
Exons: 8
Source: RefSeq, a predicted model, not a curated record
UUCUCUCUCUUAAUUUUGCAGUCUCUGACAACUGUGGUUUCAGAUGAAGGUUCUAUUGUUAGAAUGCUUGUUAUUUACUGAUGGUCACUUGAGGAGGUGUUGAAUAUAUGUCCCUGCCUCCAUAUGUCCUUCUCUUUUCUUGUCUAUCUCCUUGACUCCACUCUAAUAAUGAAGUUGUCUAUGGCUGCAGCAUCACUGCGCAAGCUCAGGUUUUAAGAUCUCCUCCAGAUUAACGAAGUACCUUGCUGCUUGGGACUCAAGAUUGCUUGAGAAAUAAAUGGAGGAAAAGAUACAUCCACCGUUUUUGUAGGAUCAUAUCUGAGCUGAUGUUUGGGAUUGGACAUCUCCUAGAUCAGGGUUAAUGGAACUGAAGAUCUUACAGAAGUAGUAAAAAACUGAUACCGUGAAGCAAUAUGCAUCAGAGGGUUGGGACACUCUUCACACAAGCAUCCCGCUUUAGCAGACUAUGGGCUUCUGAGUGGACUCAACAUGAAUCUGAUUGUGCUCGAAUGAGGAAAAGAACCAAGCUAUCACAACAUCAUGGAAAGUAGGCUCCUGUUCGGUGACUCAACUGGGCCUUCCUCAUCUGUCGCUCAAGAUGUGCGGCGCUGAUUAAAAGGCAGCAACUAAUAUUGGUCUCCAUAGAGGAUCCUGUUAGGGAAGCCUUUCCUACAGAUCCUGAUGCCUUCCAGCACACCGUUACAGCGCAGCUGGUGCAUCACCAGAGGGUUCUCCAUGGCCCCAGGAGUCUUGGUCUCGUUGGGGAUGAUGCAGCGCACAAAGUGAGGAUGGGUGGACCUCAGUUGUUGAGAAUCUUUGGAGGACGCAACCACGUGAGGUAAAGGUCGGCCGUCCGUGCCAACUCCCGUCCAUCGUCCACCUCACUGCUCCAAGCAGCUCAUUAAAGAGCGCCAGCAGUCCGUCUCUCUGUGCCGCCUUGUGCUGCUGCAGCUACUGGAGGCAUGAGUUGCAUUGCAGACAGAGGGGACUACAGCACAGAAGAUCCCAAAGGUCUUAGGUGGCCAUCACUGUUUCACUCCUCAUCUAGCCCUUUCUGUGAUGAAGAAUGACAAAAAAAGGGAACAAUGAGAGAUGGAUUAGUGACUAAAGACUCAGGAAGAGUUAAACAAAAUAACCCACAGGGUAUAAAUGAUGCUGUGUAUUGUAGAAUAAAACCAUCAUAGCAUGGUAUUCAUGACUUUCUUUGUAACUACAGGAUGUCCUUCACCAUGGCACAAUGUCUUAAACACAAAUUGUUUCUGAGGGGACAAUAAAGUAAAAUGUUAAGGGACUUGAUGACUCAGGACAGAACAGAAAUGGAUAAAAUCAUGCAUACAUCAUGUCACCACAUUUUCCAAUGCUAAAUUCAAGGGCAGUAAUUUCAUUCAUUUAACUAGCCUCAGCAAAUCUAUUGAUGAGUAUACCAACAGAGUCCACUAUGAACCCACUACUAACUGCAUGAGAGCCAUUAAUGCACAAACCAGUAGGAUAGCUACAGAUCCUGUCACUGAACAAUUCACCAUGAAAACUAGCUGACUUUUUCCUCACCUCUGCCCUGUUUCUCAUGUUAUUUUAUCUUCAUCUCACUAACAAACCGUUCAACACUCAUACCAGUACUUGAAAAGCAAUCUUCUAAAAUCUGCCUUUUUUCCACAUCUACAGUUAAAAGUAGAUGUUUACAUACACUGUAUAAAACGACACAUACCUAUUGUCUUGCACUCUCUGAGAUUACAUUCAACUAAAUCUUUCCUGUUUUAAGUCACUUAGGUUUACCAAAACAAUUUAUCUUAACGAUGUAAUAAUGAUAUUAUUUGCUUUUUUUACUACUUUCUUCAUAUUCAAAGGUUUACUUGCAAUAAGUUUAGCAUGCCUUUAAACAAUUUGGGAAAACCCAGGUGAUCACAUGGCCUCAUACACUUUGGAUGGGUUAAUUCACAUUAUAUGAGUGGUUUGGGGGUACAUCUGUGGAUGUAUUUUCAGGCAACACCUCAAUAAACUGUUUAUAGGAGUAAAACCACAAUAUCAGAAGAAAUCAGCAAAAAUAUCAGGAAGAGUCUUGGGUACAAUGUCCGGAUGUCUGAUUGUAUUUAUCUGUUUAAAUGAUUAUAUGCAGGUAAAAAUCCUAUCAUCAUGUUCAGCCAUGAUUUUGUUCAGGAAGAAGUGGGCUUGUCUGUCCCGGAGAUUAAAGUAUUUUCAUGUGAAAUGUGUGUAUUAACCCCAGAACAAAAGCUAAAGAGCUUGUGAAGCUGUUAGCUGAAGUUAGGAAGAGAGCCUUGUUAUCAACAGUGAAAUGAAUCCUCUACCAACGCAGACUGAAAGGCCACCUGGAAGGAAGGAUCCAUUACUUUAAAAGCAUCAUUAAAUGAAAAACAGAUUACAGCUAACAAAAAUGCCACCAGAGGCAAAGACCUUUUCCAGAUUAAAUGCAAGCACUUGGCCAUAAAGACCACUGGUAUAUGUGCAGGAAAAAGGGGGAAAAUUACAAGCUGGACAACACCAACUCAACAGUGAAGCACGGAGGUGGUAGCAUUACGUGUCGUUGUUUGGCUGCAGAGCAGAUGUGUUCACUCCACAAACUAGAUAGCAACUAAAUUUGCUGCAAAUCAACUUAAGGAUGUCAGAGUUCAUGGUUUUGAGAGGCCAUCACAAAGCCCUGAUCUCAGACCCAGUCUCAUGGGCAGAGCUAAACAGGUUUGUGUGCAGAAGGUGGCUUCAAUCCUGACUCUGCUACGCUAGUUCUGUGAGGAGGAAUGGGCCAAAACUUAGAAAGUUGUGGAAGGAUAUGGCCUAAAAGAGGAACACAUUAAGCUACAUUUAUUACCAAGGUGAAAAACUGGUACUUUUUAUACAGUGUAGGUAACUGAGUUCAGCUCUCAGUGGUCCAUGUUUGCACCUCUUACACAACACUCAGAAUGUAUGUUCUUCAGCUGUAAAUUCAAUCUAAACAUUCUCCUCAUUGGGAAUUACAAGUAUUACUACUAACCACAUAUAACUCACUAACACAGCUCAUCAAACCAGAAAACCACUAAAUAAAAUUGACCUAUAAAACAGA